GUAUCCCAGUUCCCCGUUCCACGCUUCUUGGAAUGGCAUGACUGUUUCCUGUGGCUCGUUAUGUAGCUCCUUGUAUAGUAUAGAUAGUGUGCGUUUGGCUGGUUUUGGUGAGAGGCAUAGUUGCUCUAACUUACACCCUUGUUGCUGUGUUGUGUUCUUUACUUCCAUCCCCUUGAGAAAGGACUUCAAUUGUAGAAAUGGGAAUAUGGCUCUGUUUGGGAGGUGGUAUAGUUCUUGG
Molecule: non-coding RNA, 238 nt
Organism: Pelobates cultripes (western spadefoot toad)
Lineage: Eukaryota; Metazoa; Chordata; Amphibia; Anura; Pelobatidae
Source: the annotation of a GenBank genome assembly